GAACGCUGGCGGCGCGCCUAACACAUGCAAGUCGAACGGAGUUAUUUUCUUCACUCCGAGCUUUUUGCCAGUUAGCCGGAGCGGCAAUCGGUUUUGCCCAGCAUAAAAGCAAAACCGAUUUAGGCUCAUAAAGUAAGACUAACACAGAGGGCAGAGAGUUGGGAGUGAAGAAAAUAACUUAGUGGCGAACGGGUGAGUAACGCGUGAGUAACCUGCCCUGGAGUGGGGGACAACAGUUGGAAACGACUGCUAAUACCGCAUAAGCCCACGGCCCGGCAUCGGGCUGCGGGAAAAGGAUUUAUUCGCUUCAGGAUGGACUCGCGUCCAAUUAGCUAGUUGGUGAGGUAACGGCCCACCAAGGCGACGAUUGGUAGCCGGACUGAGAGGUUGAACGGCCACAUUGGGACUGAGACACGGCCCAGACUCCUACGGGAGGCAGCAGUGGGGGAUAUUGCACAAUGGGGGAAACCCUGAUGCAGCGACGCCGCGUGGAGGAAGAAGGUUUUCGGAUUGUAAACUCCUGUCGUUAGGGACGAUAAUGACGGUACCUAACAAGAAAGCACCGGCUAACUACGUGCCAGCAGCCGCGGUAAAACGUAGGGUGCAAGCGUUGUCCGGAAUUACUGGGUGUAAAGGGAGCGCAGGCGGACCGGCAAGUUGGAAGUGAAAACUAUGGGCUCAACCCAUAAAUUGCUUUCAAAACUGCUGGCCUUGAGUAGUGCAGAGGUAGGUGGAAUUCCCGGUGUAGCGGUGGAAUGCGUAGAUAUCGGGAGGAACACCAGUGGCGAAGGCGACCUACUGGGCACCAACUGACGCUGAGGCUCGAAAGCAUGGGUAGCAAACAGGAUUAGAUACCCUGGUAGUCCAUGCCGUAAAC
Molecule: ribosomal RNA, 877 nt
Filed under: human gut metagenome
Description: bacterial SSU rRNA
Rfam family: Bacterial small subunit ribosomal RNA
Source: RNAcentral